This 506-nucleotide ribosomal RNA is filed under the name uncultured bacterium. Its description in RNAcentral is "partial 16S ribosomal RNA". It matches the Rfam family "Bacterial small subunit ribosomal RNA", at positions 28 to 523 of the family's 1533-position model. The record is from RNAcentral.
GAUGAACGCUAGCUACAGGCUUAACACAUGCAAGUCGAGGGGUAACGAGAGGAAAGCUCGCUUUCCUUGUCGACGACCGGCGCACGGGUGAGUAACGCGUAUCCAACCUGCCCCCAACUAGGGAAUAACCUUGCGAAAGUAAGACUAAUACCCUAUAAUUUCCUCAGAUGACAUCUGACGAGGAAUAAAGAUUUAUCGGUUGUGGAUGGGGAUGCGUCUGAUUAGCUUGUUGGCGGGGUAACGGCCCACCAAGGCAACGAUCAGUAGGGGUUCUGAGAGGAAGGUGCCCCACAUUGGAACUGAGACACGGUCCAAACUCCUACGGGAGGCAGCAGUGAGGAAUAUUGGUCAAUGGGCGGAAGGCUGAACCAGCCAAGUAGCGUGCAGGAUGACGGGCCUAUGGGUUGUAAACUGCUUUUAUACAGGAAUAAAGUUAGCCACGUGUGGUUAUUUGUAGGUACUGUAUGAAUAAGGACCGGCUAAUUCCUUGCCAGCCGCCGCCGUAA